This is a non-coding RNA of Rattus norvegicus (Norway rat), 69 nucleotides long. Lineage: Eukaryota; Metazoa; Chordata; Mammalia; Rodentia; Muridae. The record is from Rfam.
GGGGAUUUAGCUCAGUGGUAGAGCGUUUGCCUACUAAGUGCAAGGUCCUGGGUUCAGUCCCCAGCUCCG